AGAGUUUGAUCCUGGCUCAGGAUAAACGCUGGCGGCGUGCUUUAUGCAUGCAAGUCGAACGGUCUCGAUUUAUCGAGAUAGUGGCGGAUGGGUGAGUAACGCGUAAGUAACCUGCCCCUAAGUGAGGGAUAACUCUGAGAAAUCGGAGCUAAUACUGCAUGUGGUGAUGGGGGUAAGGCUCCAUCACUAAAGCCUUCGGGUGCUUGGGGAGGGGCUUGCGUCCGAUCAGCUAGUUGGUAAGGUAACGGCCUACCAAGGCAAUGAUCGGUAGCUGGUCUGAGAGGAUGGUCAGCCACACUGGGACUGAGACACGGCCCAGACUCCUACGGGAGGCAGCAGCAAGGGAUAUUGUGCAAUGGGCGAAAGCCUGACACAGCGACGCCGCGUGGGGGAAGAAGGUCUUCGGGUUGUAAACCCCUUUUCUCAGGGAAGAAUAAUGACGGUACCUGAGGAAUAAGUCUCGGCUAACUACGUGCCAGCAGCCGCGGUAAUACGUGGGAGGCAAGCGUUAUCCGGAUUUAUUGGGCGUAAAGAGGGCGUAGGUGGCUCUUCAAGUCGGAUGUAAAAUCUCCCGGCUCAACUGGGAGGGACCAUUCGAUACUGCUGGGCUAGAGUGCAGCAGGGGGAGGUGGAAUUCCCGGUGUAGUGGUGAAAUGCGUAGAUAUCGGGAGGAACACCAGUGGCGAAGGCGGCCUCCUGGGCUGUUACUGACACUGAGGCCCAAAAGCGUGGGGAGCGAACAGGAUUAGAUACCCUGGUAGUCCACGCUGUAAACGAUGGGCACUAGGUAUGGGGAGUAUCGACCCUCUCCGUGCCGAAGCUAACGCAUUAAGUGUCCCGCCUGGGGAGUACGGUCGCAAGACUAAAACUCAAAGGAAUUGACGGGGGCCCGCACAAGCAGCGGAGCGUGUGGUUUAAUUCGAUGCAACGCGAGAUCUUACCAAGCUUGACAUGUCGGAGUAGCGACCCGAAAGGGGAGCGACCUGUAGUCAGAGCGUCACAGGUGCUGCAUGGCUGUCGUCAGCUCGUGCGUGAGGUGUUAGGUAGUCUGUACGAGCGCACCCUGUGUCAGUAUUUCUCCUGGCGAGACUGCCUGCAAACGGGAGAAGUAGGAUGACGUCAGUCAGCAUGCCUUAUGCCUUGGGCCUACCACACGCUCAUGGGUGUCAUGGGGUGCCAUGAACGAUCCGGACUAUCUUUAAA
RNAcentral lists this ribosomal RNA (1203 nucleotides) under uncultured bacterium. RNAcentral's name for it is "bacterial SSU rRNA". It matches the Rfam family "Bacterial small subunit ribosomal RNA", at positions 8 to 1279 of the family's 1533-position model. The record is from RNAcentral.